RNAcentral lists this ribosomal RNA (427 nucleotides) under uncultured prokaryote. Its description in RNAcentral is "bacterial SSU rRNA". It matches the Rfam family "Bacterial small subunit ribosomal RNA", at positions 355 to 774 of the family's 1533-position model. The record is from RNAcentral.
UAGGGAAUAUUGGACAAUGGGCGCAAGCCUGAUCCAGCCAUGCCGCGUGAAUGAUGAAGGCCUUCGGGUUGUAAAAUUCUUUUCUGAGGGAAGAACAUCCGGGUGAGGAAAUGCUCCCGGUCUGACGGUACCUCAGGAAUAAGGGACGGCUAACUCCGUGCCAGCAGCCGCGGUAAUACGGAGGUCCCGAGCGUUGUUCGGAAUUACUGGGCGUAAAGGGAGCGCAGGCGGACGGGUCAGUCUAAAGUGGAAAUCCGGGGCUUAACCUCGGACUUGCUUCGGAUACUGCCCGUCUUGAGUUCGUGAGAGGAAGAUGGAAUUCAGGGUGUAGCGGUGAAAUGCUCAGAUAUCCUGAGGAACACCAGUGGCGAAAGCGGUCUUCUGGCACGAAACUGACGCUGAGGCUCGAAAGCGUGGGUAGCAAACA